Molecule: transfer RNA, 88 nt
Filed under: Candidatus Fermentibacterota bacterium
Lineage: Bacteria; Pseudomonadati; Candidatus Fermentibacterota
Description: tRNA-Leu
Rfam family: tRNA
About the family: Transfer RNA (tRNA) molecules are approximately 80 nucleotides in length.
Source: RNAcentral
GCCGAAGUGGUGGAAUAUGGUAGACGCGCUGCGUUCAGGGCGCAGUGGGCAGCAGCCCGUGGGGGUUCGAGUCCCCCCUUCGGCACCA